Long non-coding RNA from Pezoporus occidentalis (night parrot), 3102 nucleotides. RefSeq lists it as uncharacterized. NCBI's taxonomy places the organism in Eukaryota, Metazoa, Chordata, Aves, Psittaciformes, Psittacidae. The record is from RefSeq and is a predicted model, not a curated record. The transcript is spliced from 3 exons.
CUGAGGAUUCCAUCACAGGGGAGUGCUUGUGUCAUGUACAAAGCCUUGGAGAAUGAGUGUCACCUCCAGGCUGAACUCCAAGUCUCUGUCUGACUCCAUACGAGAGGAGCUCCAGCCCUCUGGCAAACUUUGUGGCCUCCUCUGGAUUUGCUCCAACACGAGGAGCACAAGCUCUGAAUCCCUCUGCCAUGUAGAGAAAAGCAAUUUUUCAUGACAACAACCAGGUCAGAGUUGACUAAACUCACAGAUUUGGAUCCAGACCCCUAGAAGAGCAGCUUGGAGCCCUGCCAGCUGUAUGGAUGUGCCAUUUGUGGGCACUGCUUUUAAGCCUCUUGCAGCGAGUGGGAGGAACCUUAUCAUUAAGCAGUUUGUUGCACGUGCUUCAUAUUCAUUGCAAAGGUUGAUAGCUUUAAAAGAAAAGUGCUGACAGCAAACUUCAGCUUCCAGGGUAGGAAAUUUAAAAUUUAAAAACAAAACCUGCAGCAAUGAAACUCUUGCCUGAUAAUUGCACUGUUUGGCUUUUGGCAGCUCUGAUUUUGGCUUUGUUGCACAUGUAUCUCUCCAUAGCAGGACUGUCCUGCAGGUCUGAGUUACUUUCUCUCCCAGAGGUACUGUUUACAUUACUCUGGAGCUACUCAGUGCUAUCAAAGCAGUGCAAUCAGUGGGAGCUUGAAACGUGUAUCCCGAAUUCAGAGAAAGGGUUUUAAAUAACUGGCCAUGCUUCACUGCAUCCAAACUAGGGUUAAGCAGGGAUUAUUUAGCAGCACUAGAAAACACUUCUGCUCAGCUGGUGAGUAAAAGAAGAGACCAGUUUGUGCUGAGUGUUUAAUGCUGCCUUGGAGGCACAGAUGGGAGCCAGAUGGAAUAGACAAUUUUCUACUCGGACCUGCAAGAUGAAUCUGAAUAUGCACAUGUCCAAUAAUCAUACCCUGUAAACACUCUGCUAGCAUGUGCAGGUAGAGAUAACCUCCCUGGUACCUCCCUCCUGUGCAUGGUACCUGUUGAAAGCCCAGCUCUGGAGGUUGCCACUAUUACUGGAAAAUGUCCAUAGCCUGAACACUGGGAGCAGCUACCUAUGUCAGCACCCACUGGGGUUCAAUUGCAGGUGGAGCUAGGGUGAGUAUCCAAGGAGAUUUUUUAGCAUAUAUUUUGGGUUGCUGCUUCCUCCUCCAGGAUAGGUGCCUUGAGGGUCCUGGUAUUGUGGGAUCUCAUCUGUAAUGGGGUGUAGCGUCCCAGCAUCUCUGUGGUAGCUUGAAGCAAAUCAAAUACAUCUCUUUUUUUCCUACUUCAUAGAAGACUUCCAAGGGUGUAAGGAGCCUAAAACCAGCUGAGGCAUUUUUAAGUUCUGAAAUUCUAUUCUAAACAUUUUCAGAACAUUAAAAAAAAAUAUUUCUAGUCUUUUAGAGGGUUUGUUUUAUAUGCUUUUUGUUGUUCAUGCAUUAUUUUAUGAGACAGCAGUCAAAUCAAUGACUUGUCAUAAUAGGACAUUAUUGCUGAAACAUUCUCUUAUUUUAAUGCCAUUUAUAAAAAUCAGCAACUAUGACUGAUCAGUGCUGAUUAAAAUACAUAAUCUUCUUUCCUGUAUCGAGAUGUCUCUGCUGUUUGGAGUAGUGAUGGAAGGGAUGGGUGUUUUGUUUGUUGUAAGCUUCCUGUGCACUGGAGAGGUUUAGAAAGCUAUGGUCAGGUCAUGAGCUGUUGGUUGUCUGCAGCUAGCACAAAGCCUGUGCAUAUUCCACACUGAGUGCCCUGGAUAAUUUUCCAGAAAUCAAACUUAGGGCCUGUUUCUGAUACAUGCACCACAGACUUGCUAGGUGAGCGGAUAAUGCCAUACCCAUUAUCAAUGGCCAAGAAAUGCCAAGAUGAACUCAAUCCCCUCUCUAAAACAAUAUUGCCUUUUGUUUGCAAGACACAUGCGUUUGUACUUGUGAGCUGUUCAGGUAUUGGGGGAGGAAAGAGCCAGUGUAGUUGUGCGGUUUGGUGUCCUGUGAGCACAGUGUUUUGCAUUGUCUGGAGGUCAACGUCCAGAGUGAGGCAUUAUCUGAAAUACUGACAAUGCAUUGCUGAGUGUCUCACUCAGCAGUGCAAGCUGAGUGGGACAACACAAGUAAGCAACCCUUUACUCCUCAUAGAUCAGAGAUACUAUGCCAUGUUAGUAUUGCCCUUUAUUUCUUGGAUGUGAAGCAUGGGGCUGAGUGGAUGCUUCCUUACUGCAUUCUUGGCGAGUGUAGAAUGAUGUCUGGUACAGCUAUAUGCUCUUGACUCCAUCGCUGUGUUUUUUGAAGUGAAUGAUAGCAUGAGCAAGAUGAACAUAUAUUUGUGGUUGUCUUUCAGAGGCUGCACCGCGAUGAGAAUUUGAGCUGUUCAAAGGCAUCUAAAUGAGACAUAUGUAAUUGAUCGCGACACUUGUGUUCCCACUGUAAGCAAUGCCCCUCUUGUCUCCUGGCUCAGUAGCUUUCUUUGAUUUCAUGCGAAUCUGUCACCUGCUUCUGUGAUACAUUUCCUCAUUUGCAAAAAGAGGUCUUGCUGCUACACUAAUCUGCUUCUCGUGUUCUCCAUUUUCAUUUUUAGCCCUUUUGCUGUUUCAUUGUUUUUGGGGCAUAGGUGGAGUGAGUGCUGGGCAUUGGUCUCUGUGGAGUUAUGGAAGAGCAAGGUCAAAACAUGACACCAGUUCCACUUCUUGUACCUUUUCCAAGAGAGCCCUCCUGGGGCUCUUUCUGUUCCACCUUGGGUUAUGAAAAACAGUGCCUUUUUUUUUGACUUAAAAUGCAAAAGUAGGCACUACAUCUUGUCUCCUAAGAAAAAUGCAUGCUCUGAUUUAAAAAUGCCCUUGUGUCACAAUUUGUCCCUUUGAGCUCAGCUCUGUAUGAGUUUUUCAUAUUAAAAUAGUUGUUAUUUAUUAAAUCCCUGAUAAAGCUACACUUAAAGCUCCCAUUAUAGAAUAUGCAUCUUUAAAUCUGCUGAAUAUGUGGUUUGUCACUGAUGCAAAGUGUACUGAUUAAUUAAAUAAGACUUAGAGAUUCAUAAAGCAAUUGCUCCAAAAUGAAAUGUUAUUUACAUCUAAGUAUAUUAACGAUUAUGGAAACUUAAUUUCUCCCUUACACA